RNAcentral lists this ribosomal RNA (253 nucleotides) under uncultured bacterium. Its description in RNAcentral is "partial 16S ribosomal RNA". It matches the Rfam family "Bacterial small subunit ribosomal RNA", at positions 524 to 776 of the family's 1533-position model. The record is from RNAcentral.
GACGUAGGGCGCGAGCGUUGUCCGGAUUUAUUGGGCGUAAAGCGUUCGUAGGCGGCUUGUCGCGUCGUCUGUGAAAUCCCGCGGCUCAACCGCGGGUCUGCAGUCGAUACGGGCAGGCUAGAGUUCGGUAGGGGAGACUGGAAUUCCUGGUGUAGCGGUGAAAUGCGCAGAUAUCAGGAGGAACACCGGUGGCGAAGGCGGGUCUCUGGGCCGAUACUGACGCUGAGGAGCGAAAGCGUGGGGAGCGAACAGG